GCCAGACUCCUACGGGAGGCAGCAGUGGGGGAUAUUGCACAAUGGGGGAAACCCUGAUGCAGCGACGCCGCGUGGGUGAAGAAGCGCCUCGGCGCGUAAAGCCCUGUCAGCAGGGAAGAAAAUGACGGUACCUGAAGAAGAAGCCCCGGCUAACUACGUGCCAGCAGCCGCGGUAAUACGUAGGGGGCAAGCGUUAUCCGGAUUUACUGGGUGUAAAGGGAGCGUAGACGGCAGUGCAAGUCCGGAGUGAAAGCCCGGGGCUCAACCCUGGGACUGCUCUGGAAACUGUAAAGCUGGAGUGCGGGAGGGGCAGGCGGAAUUCCUGGUGUAGCGGUGAAAUGCGUAGAUAUCAGGAGGAACACCGGCGGCGAAGGUGGCCUGCUGGACCGUAACUGACGUUGAGGCUCGAAAGCGUGGGUAGCAAACAGGAUUAGAUACCCUUGUAAU
RNAcentral lists this ribosomal RNA (447 nucleotides) under uncultured bacterium. Its description in RNAcentral is "bacterial SSU rRNA". It matches the Rfam family "Bacterial small subunit ribosomal RNA", at positions 330 to 794 of the family's 1533-position model. The record is from RNAcentral.